UUUAUGCACGUGGUAGGAGAGCGUUCUAGCGGCGGUGAAGCAUGACCGAGAGGACAUGUGGAGCUUCUAGAAGUGAGAAUGCCGGUAUGAGUAACGAAAGACAGGUGAGAAUCCUGUCCGCCGCAAGACUAAGGUUUCCUGGGGCAGGCUCGUCCGCCCAGGGUAAGUCGGGACCUAAGGCGAGGCCGAGAGGCGUAGUCGAUGGACAACAGGUUGAAAUUCCUGUACUGCACCGAAUCGUUAUGAGCGAUGGAGGGACGCAGGAGGCUAGCAGCGCGUGGUGCUGGAUACCACGUUCAAGCGUCAAGUCUGAGAGCGAGUCAAAUGCUUGCUCUCAUAAGGACAAGGCGUGAUGAGGAGCGAAAUUAAAGUAGCGAAGGCUGCGACGUCACACUGCCGAGAAAAGCUUCUAGCCAGAGACGGUGCACCCGUACCGCAAACCGACACAGGUAGUCGAGGAGAGUAUCCUCAGGUGAGCGAGAGAACUCUCGUUAAGGAACUCGGCAAAAUGGCCCCGUAACUUCGGGAGAAGGGGCGCUGGUCGCAAGAUCAGCCGCAGUGAAAAGGCCCAAGCAACUGUUUAUCAAAAACACAGGCAUCUGCAAAAUCGUAAGAUGAAGUAUAGGUGCUGACACCUGCCCGGUGCUGGAAGGUUAAGAGGAGAGCUUAGCGCAAGCGAAGGUUUGAAUUGAAGCCCCAGUAAACGGCGGCCGUAACUAUAACGGUCCUAAGGUAGCGAAAUUCCUUGUCGGGUAAGUUCCGACCUGCACGAAAGGUGUAAUGAUUUGGGCACUGUCUCAACGAGAGACUCGGUGAAAUUAUAAUACCCGUGAAGAUGCGGGUUACCCGCGACAGGACGGAAAGACCCCAUGGAGCUUUACUGCAGUUUAAUAUUGGGUAUCUGUCAAGCAUGUACAGGAUAGGUAGGAGCCGGAGAAGAUAGGACGCCAGUCUUAUCUGAGGCGCUGUUGGGAUACUACCCUUGCUUGACGGAUGCUCUAACUCAGGCCUGUGAUCCAGGCCGAGGACAGUGUUUGACGGGCAGUUUGACUGGGGCGGUCGCCUCCUAAAGUGUAACGGAGGCGCCCAAAGGUUCCCUCAGAAUGGUUGGAAAUCAUUCGCAGAGUGUAAAGGUAAAAGGGAGCUUGACUGCGAGAGAGACAACUCGAGCAGGUACGAAAGUAGGGCUUAGUGAUCUGGUGGUACCGUAUGGAAGGGCCAUCACUCAACGGAUAAAAGCUACCCUGGGGAUAACAGGCUUAUCUCCCCCAAGAGUUCACAUCGACGGGGAGGUUUGGCACCUCGAUGUCGGCUCGUCGCAUCCUGGGGCUGAAGUCGGUCCCAAGGGUUGGGCUGUUCGCCCAUUAAAGCGGCACGCGAGCUGGGUUCAGAACGUCGUGAGACAGUUCGGUCCCUAUCCGUCGUGGGCGUAGGAAAUUUGAGAGGAGCUGUCCUUAGUACGAGAGGACCGGGAUGGACGCACCGCUGGUGUACCAGUUGUCUUGCCAAAGGCAUCGCUGGGUAGCUAUGUGCGGACGGGAUAAGCGCUGAAAGCAUCUAAGUGCGAAGCCCCCCUCAAGAUGAGAUUUCCCAUUUCUUCAAGAAAGUAAGACACCUCAGAGACGAUGAGGUAGAUAGGCCGGGAG
This 1646-nucleotide ribosomal RNA is filed under the name Lactobacillus delbrueckii subsp. bulgaricus. RNAcentral describes it as "partial 23S ribosomal RNA". It matches the Rfam family "Bacterial large subunit ribosomal RNA", at positions 1216 to 2867 of the family's 2925-position model. The record is from RNAcentral. Lineage: Bacteria; Bacillati; Bacillota; Bacilli; Lactobacillales; Lactobacillaceae.